Long non-coding RNA from Aquila chrysaetos chrysaetos, 775 nucleotides. RefSeq lists it as uncharacterized. Lineage: Eukaryota; Metazoa; Chordata; Aves; Accipitriformes; Accipitridae. The record is from RefSeq and is a predicted model, not a curated record. The transcript is spliced from 3 exons.
ACUCAGCUUACAUCGGAGCAGGCAGAUCACUGCCCUUCUGACGAGGGAUCCCUGGCAGCAAAACAUUAAGGGCUUUAGCUCAGCAAGGCAAAAGUAUCAGCUUCAUGAAGCUAUAACACUUUGAAGGUUACAUAGUUUUAUGCAACAAAGAAGAAGCAGCUCCUUCUCUACCUUCUACACUAGGGUAACUUCUGUGACUGUAAUCUGCUGACCUCUUACUGAAGUCAAGAUGGCUAAUACUCUUAAAAGAAGAAACAGAUGGCACCCGUUUGCAGAUGUCAAAUGCUUGCCUCACGUGGCAUGUUUACUAUUGGAUUUUCACCAGAGACUCCUGGCCCAGAUAGCGAGAUUUUUGUCAUAAUCACCAGCUUUAAACCUGAAGCAAACAUUCACUGACUAGACUGAGCCACAAUUACAUUUAUAUCUCUCAGUGCUUCUGAUUCUUUUUUAAAUUGACUGUAGAUUGGAGUACAGGAAAGGGAUUAGGGAUGCUUAGAGUUCAGGAAGUAAAGUAUUAGAAGUGGAUGUUAAAUAAUAGAUGGAAAAAGAAUAAAAAAUGUAACUCCUGCACUCCUAGGAGGGGAAUUGCAAUCUAAGAGCAGAGCUACAAGAGGAGAAGACCCACAUUUCUCAGUACAUGUGAGGCUGACUUGGGAGCAAUGCUAUGGGUGUUUGUGAUGAAUACUCUGAUUUAUACUCCGCUAUCCUUCUGCGCAAACUUUCCCACAUGAGCGUCUCAAGUGGAGCAGACAGGUGUAACCCUUUGUGUUACGGA